RNAcentral lists this non-coding RNA (151 nucleotides) under human gut metagenome. The record is from RNAcentral. RNAcentral also lists the same sequence under 1 other name.
GUCGAUUGGAAUUAAAAGGGAAUCCCGGUGAAAAUCCGGAGCUGUACUCGCAGCUGUAAGUCCUAUUAAAGUUUAUCGCACUCUUUGCCACUGGUGAAAGCUGGGAAGGCGCGAUAAGCGGGAUGAGCCAGAAGACCUGCUUGAUAAGAUA